RNAcentral lists this transfer RNA (133 nucleotides) under Colletotrichum orbiculare MAFF 240422. RNAcentral's name for it is "tRNA-Trp for anticodon CCA". It matches the Rfam family "tRNA". From Rfam's summary of the family: Transfer RNA (tRNA) molecules are approximately 80 nucleotides in length. Their secondary structure includes four short double-helical elements and three loops (D, anti-codon, and T loops). Further hydrogen bonds mediate the characteristic L-shaped molecular structure. tRNAs have two regions of fundamental functional importance: the anti-codon, which is responsible for specific mRNA codon recognition, and the 3' end, to which the tRNAs corresponding amino acid is attached (by aminoacyl-tRNA synthetases). tRNAs cope with the degeneracy of the genetic code in two manners: having more than one tRNA (with a specific anti-codon) for a particular amino acid; and 'wobble' base-pairing, i.e. permitting non-standard base-pairing at the 3rd anti-codon position. The record is from Rfam by way of RNAcentral. Lineage: Eukaryota; Fungi; Ascomycota; Sordariomycetes; Glomerellales; Glomerellaceae.
GGCCCUAUGGCGCAACGGUAGCGCGUUCGACUCCAGAUCGAAAGGUAAAUCUACGCUCCGCACUAGCAUCGUGAAGCGGCAAGCAACUAACAAGCUUCAUCACAGGUUAUCCGUUCAAAUCGGGUUGGGGUCA